Erinaceus europaeus (western European hedgehog) is the source of this 104-nucleotide small nucleolar RNA. Lineage: Eukaryota; Metazoa; Chordata; Mammalia; Eulipotyphla; Erinaceidae. The record is from Ensembl.
AUCCUUUUGUAGCUCAUCAGUGUAAUGAGUGGGUUUUCACCUGACUGUGCGAGGUGCGCCGCCUAUAAACCUUGUCACAACACUGGCACAGUGCCCGCCUGAAG